ACGGCUCAGUAACACGUAGUCAACCUAACCUAUGGACGGGAAUAACCUCGGGAAACUGAGAAUAAUGCCCGAUAGAACACUAUACCUGGAAUGGUUUGUGUUCCAAAUGAUUUAUCGCCAUAGGAUGGGACUGCGGCCUAUCAGUUUGUUGGUGAGGUAAUGGCCCACCAAGACUAUUACAGGUACGGGCUCUGAGAGGAGUAGCCCGGAGAUGGGUACUGAGACACGGACCCAGGCCCUAUGGGGCGCAGCAGGCGAGAAAACUUUGCAACGUGCGAAAGCACGACAAGGUUAAUCCGAGUGAUUUGUGCUAAACGAAUCUUUUGUUAGUCCUAGAAACACUAACGAAUAAGGGGUGGGCAAGUUCUGGUGUCAGCCGCCGCGGUAAAACCAGCACCUCAAGUGGUCAGGAUGAUUAUUGGGCCUAAAGCAUCCGUAGCCGGCUCUGUAAGUUUUCGGUUAAAUCUGUACGCUUAACGUACAGGCUGCCGGGAAUACUGCAGAGCUAGGGAGUGGGAGAGGUAGACGGUACUCGGUAGGAAGUGGUAAAAUGCUUUGAUCUAUCGAUGACCACCUGUGGCGAAGGCGGUCUACCAGAACACGUCCGACGGUGAGGGAUGAAAGCUGGGGGAGCAAACCGGAUUAGAUACCCGGGUAGUCCCAGCUGUAAACUAUGCAAACUCAGUGAUGCAUUGGCUUGUGGCCAAUGCAGUGCUGCAGGGAAGCCGUUAAGUUUGCCGCCUGGGAAGUACGUACGCAAGUAUGAAACUUAAAGGAAUUGGCGGGGGAGCAC
This 793-nucleotide ribosomal RNA is filed under the name uncultured archaeon. Its description in RNAcentral is "bacterial SSU rRNA". It matches the Rfam family "Archaeal small subunit ribosomal RNA", at positions 85 to 879 of the family's 1478-position model. The record is from RNAcentral.